UACAGUAGGAAGAAUGUCCAUUCAAACCCUGGUCCCAUCUGAUCUUAGAAGCUAAACAAGGUCAGACCUGGUUCGUACUUGGACCGGACACUGCUGCGAAUAUCAGGUGCCAGACUGGGG
This 120-nucleotide ribosomal RNA is filed under the name Periophthalmus magnuspinnatus. Lineage: Eukaryota; Metazoa; Chordata; Actinopteri; Gobiiformes; Gobiidae. The record is from RNAcentral.